RNAcentral lists this ribosomal RNA (303 nucleotides) under uncultured eukaryote. RNAcentral's name for it is "partial large subunit ribosomal RNA". It matches the Rfam family "Eukaryotic large subunit ribosomal RNA", at positions 40 to 350 of the family's 3401-position model. The record is from RNAcentral.
AUAUCAGUAAGCGGAGGAAAAGAAACUAACGAGGAUUCCCCCAGUAACGGCGAGUGAAGCGGGAACAGCCCAUGACGAGCACGUGAAAGCGUGAAUGAGUCGUAGAAAGGCCUUUUUGACCGGAUUGAUUGCGCGCAAGUUCCAUGGAAAGGGACGGCAAAGAGGGUGAGACCCCCGUGGUAGCAAUUGAGAAGGAAUUUGAAAAAGUCUUGGCGAGUCGGAUUGUUUGGGAAUGCAAUCCCAAUUGGGUGGUACGCGCCAUCUAAGGCUAAACAAGGGCAAGAGACCGAUAGCGCACAAGUA